RNAcentral lists this non-coding RNA (25 nucleotides) under Mus musculus (house mouse). Lineage: Eukaryota; Metazoa; Chordata; Mammalia; Rodentia; Muridae. The record is from RNAcentral. RNAcentral also lists the same sequence under 1 other name.
UACAGGAUUUUAUAUGGAGUAAGCU